CAAGAGCUUAUUUCACUCCCUAACU
Molecule: transfer RNA, 25 nt
Filed under: Opuntia quimilo
Lineage: Eukaryota; Viridiplantae; Streptophyta; Magnoliopsida; Caryophyllales; Cactaceae
Also listed under: 6 other names
Description: partial tRNA-Leu
Source: RNAcentral